UUUUUACUCUCUCCGUUCGAAAUUACUUGUCGCAGAAAUGGAUGUAUCUAGAUGUAUUUUAGUUCUAGAUAUAUCUAUUUCUGAGACAAGUAAUUCCGAACGGAGGGAGUACUAC
Non-coding RNA from Triticum urartu, 115 nucleotides. The record is from Rfam. NCBI's taxonomy places the organism in Eukaryota, Viridiplantae, Streptophyta, Magnoliopsida, Poales, Poaceae.